GAGUUUGAUCAUGGCUCAGGAUGAACGCUGGCGGCAUGGAUUAGGCAUGCAAGUCGAACGAAGAAUCUGAAGCUUGCUUCAGAGGACGAGUGGCGAAAGGGUGAGUAACGCGUGAGUAAUUUACCCUCAAGUUGGGAAUAACACUUGGAAACGAGUGCUAAUACCGAAUGUGAAUAUAAAGGCGCCUGUCUUAAUAUUUAAAGAUUUAUCGCUUGAGGAUGAGCUCGCGUCCCAUUAGCUAGUUGGUAGGGUAACGGCUUACCAAGGCAACGAUGGGUAGGUGGUCUGAGAGGAUGGUCACCCACACUGGGACUGAGACACUGCCCAGACUCCUACGGGAGGCUGCAGUCGAGAAUCUUCCGCAAUGCGCGAAAGCGUGACGGAGCAAUGCCGCGUGAUUGAUGAAGGCCUUAGGGUUGUAAAGAUCUGUCAACAGGGACGAAUAAAUGACGGUACCUGUAGAGGAAGCCACGGCUAACUACGUGCCAGCAGCCGCGGUAAUACGUAGGUGGCGAGCGUUAUCCGGAUUCAUUGGGCGUAAAGGGUCCGCAGGGGGUUUGCUAAGUCUGAUGUGAAAUCCCAAGGCUCAACCUUGGAACUGCAUUGG
This 607-nucleotide ribosomal RNA is filed under the name uncultured bacterium. RNAcentral's name for it is "bacterial SSU rRNA". It matches the Rfam family "Bacterial small subunit ribosomal RNA", at positions 9 to 629 of the family's 1533-position model. The record is from RNAcentral.